This 720-nucleotide ribosomal RNA is filed under the name uncultured Anaerolinea sp. Its description in RNAcentral is "bacterial SSU rRNA". It matches the Rfam family "Bacterial small subunit ribosomal RNA", at positions 49 to 804 of the family's 1533-position model. Lineage: Bacteria; Bacillati; Chloroflexota; Anaerolineae; Anaerolineales; Anaerolineaceae. The record is from RNAcentral.
CUACCAUGCAGUCGAACGGACCACUUCGGUGGUUAGUGGCGCACGGGUGAGUAACACGUGGUUGACCUACCCCAAAGUAAGGGAUAACGGUCCGAAAGGACUGCUAAUACCUUAUAAGCUCCCGGUGUUUAGAAAACUGGGAGAAAAGUUCCGGCGCUUUGGGCGGGGACUGCGGACCAUCAGCUAGUUGGUGUGGUAACGGCACACCAAGGCGACGACGGAUAGGGGACCUGAGAGGGUGGCCCCCCACACUGGAACUGAGACACGGUCCAGACUCCUACGGGAGGCAGCAGUGAGGAAUAUUGCACAAUGGGCGCAAGCCUGAUGCAGCGACGCCGCGUGGGUGAUGAAGGUUUUCGGAUCGUAAAGCCCUUUUCUAGGUGACGAGUAAGGACGGUAGUCUAGGAAUAAGUGUCGGCUAACUACGUGCCAGCAGCCGCGGUAAAACGUAGGACACAAGCGUUAUCCGGAGUUACUGGGCCGUAAAGGGCGUGUAGGCGGACCUGUAAGUCUAUUCUGAAAGCUCCUGGCUAAACUGGGAGAGGCGAAUGGAGACUGCAGAUCUAGAGUGAGGAAGAGGAAAGUGGAAUUCCCCGUGUANUGGUGAAAUGCGUAAAGAUGCGGAGGACACCAGUGGCGAAGCGACUUUCUGGCCUUAACUGACGCUGAGGCGCGAAGCAUGGGGAGCGACGGGAUUAAAACCCCGGUAGUCAUGCCAUA